This 73-nucleotide transfer RNA is filed under the name Mus musculus (house mouse). It matches the Rfam family "tRNA". Rfam says of the family: Transfer RNA (tRNA) molecules are approximately 80 nucleotides in length. The record is from Rfam by way of RNAcentral. Lineage: Eukaryota; Metazoa; Chordata; Mammalia; Rodentia; Muridae.
GGAGAGGUAGCUUAGUGGUUAAGAGUAUUGGCUGCUCUUCCAGAGAAUCUGGGUUCAAUUCCCAACCUUGCAG